Molecule: transfer RNA, 87 nt
Filed under: Halomonas halophila
Lineage: Bacteria; Pseudomonadati; Pseudomonadota; Gammaproteobacteria; Oceanospirillales; Halomonadaceae
Also listed under: 61 other names
Description: tRNA-Leu
Rfam family: tRNA
About the family: Transfer RNA (tRNA) molecules are approximately 80 nucleotides in length. Their secondary structure includes four short double-helical elements and three loops (D, anti-codon, and T loops).
Source: RNAcentral
GCCCGGAUGGCGAAAUUGGUAGACGCAAGGGACUUAAAAUCCCUCGGUGGCAACACCGUGCCGGUUCGAGCCCGGCUCCGGGCACCA